ACACGUGACGGGUGUGAGUGCAGCCAACAAAAUUAGAAAAGAAAAAAUAAUACAAAGGAUAAGGCACUGACACAUGGUCUACUUAGGUGAAGCUUCUAGAAUGGUGAACCAUGAAGAAGGCCACCCAGUCGCAGCGUUGUUCGCCUCCCUCUAGAUAUGUGUGGCUCGAGAGAGACCACACUCAUCUAAGAACCUAUGGAUGUCGUAGAGCAGCGGUUUAGAACCAGUGCCAUGCUUCCGACCUCCGAUCCACUUGAUCACCAUGGUCGAGCCUCUCUCAAGAAGGAUGCAAUCUGCCCAGCACACGCCUCGCAUAGGUGUACCUUUCAUGCAGCUCUGAGCUUGACACAAACUACAGAUGUGUUAAAGAUUCGCUGACCCCCAGCCGCUAUUAGUCUGGCAUCAUAGUCGCUG
RNAcentral lists this long non-coding RNA (414 nucleotides) under Phoenix dactylifera (date palm). RNAcentral describes it as "long non-coding RNA (PDAC_LNC005438)". The record is from RNAcentral. Lineage: Eukaryota; Viridiplantae; Streptophyta; Magnoliopsida; Arecales; Arecaceae.